GACGAACGCUGGCGGCGUGCUUAACACAUGCAAGUCGAGCGGUAAGGCCCCUUCGGGGGUACACGAGCGGCGAACGGGUGAGUAACACGUGGGUGACCUGCCCUCAGCUCUGGGAUAAGCCUGGGAAACUGGGUCUAAUACCGGAUAUGACUCCAUGACGCAUGUCGUGGGGUGGAAAGCCUUGUGCGGCUGGGGAUGGGCCCGCGGCCUAUCAGCUUGUUGGUGGGGUGAUGGCCUACCAAGGCGACGACGGGUAGCCGGCCUGAGAGGGCGACCGGCCACACUGGGACUGAGACACGGCCCAGACUCCUACGGGAGGCAGCGAGUGGGGAAUCUUGCGCAAUGGGCGAAAGCCUGACGCAGCGACGCCGCGUGAGGGAUGACGGCCUCGG
Molecule: ribosomal RNA, 392 nt
Filed under: uncultured bacterium
Lineage: Bacteria
Description: bacterial SSU rRNA
Rfam family: Bacterial small subunit ribosomal RNA
Source: RNAcentral